Molecule: transfer RNA, 72 nt
Organism: Camelus ferus (Wild Bactrian camel)
Lineage: Eukaryota; Metazoa; Chordata; Mammalia; Artiodactyla; Camelidae
Rfam family: tRNA
About the family: Transfer RNA (tRNA) molecules are approximately 80 nucleotides in length. Their secondary structure includes four short double-helical elements and three loops (D, anti-codon, and T loops).
Source: Rfam
GGGGGUACAGCUCAGUGGUAGAGUGCAUGCUUCGUAGGCACGAGGUCCUGGGUUCAAUCCCCAGUACGUCCA